UACGUAGGGUGCAAGCGUUGUCCGGAAUUAUUGGGCGUAAAGGGCGCGUAGGCGGCGACUCUAGUCAGAUGUGAAAGUCCUGGGCUUAACCUGGGGACUGCAUUUGAUACUGGGUUGCUUGAAUUCGGGAGAGGAUAGCGGAAUUCCCAGUGUAGAGGUGAAAUUCGUAGAUAUUGGGAAGAACACCGGUGGCGAAGGCGGCUAUCUGGACCGACAUUGACGCUGAGGCGCGAAAGCGUGGGGAGCAAACAGG
This 253-nucleotide ribosomal RNA is filed under the name uncultured bacterium. RNAcentral describes it as "partial 16S ribosomal RNA". It matches the Rfam family "Bacterial small subunit ribosomal RNA", at positions 524 to 776 of the family's 1533-position model. The record is from RNAcentral.